Bubalus bubalis (water buffalo) is the source of this 6063-nucleotide long non-coding RNA. RefSeq lists it as uncharacterized. The transcript is spliced from 6 exons. The record is from RefSeq and is a predicted model, not a curated record. Lineage: Eukaryota; Metazoa; Chordata; Mammalia; Artiodactyla; Bovidae.
AGAACCAGAUUUACGAGCACCAAGGCCUAGGAAGGCGGCAAGACUCCUAGAGCAUCUGAGUAGAACGCUCUGCGUAGGUUUGCCUAGUCCUCCCGCCACAGAAAGACCUGCAGCAUCCGGUCUAGCCAGAGACCGCAUGGCCAGGCCCGCACCGCCCAGGUCCGGAGAAUUCCCGGGAUUGGCUGCCCGGACCGCCCCUACCCCCGACCGUCCCGCCCCGGAUGCCCUGCUCGCGCCCCGCCCCGCCCCGCUUGCAUUUUCUCGGCGCAGCACACGCGCCCCGGCCUCAGUCUUGCUGAAUUGAGCGGGUGCAGCCGCGGCUACUUUGUAGCGGGGUCGGGCCCCACCCAGACUGAGGCGGUUACAGCGGAUCUUGAACCAACCGUGGGCCUGGGGAAUUUAUCUCCAGCUACUGCCGGCUGCAGCGGCCUGAGUACUAAGCGCAGUCUCUUUCAAAGAUUUCUCCAAGACCGGAUUCGGGCCAUCUCUUCUCAAGACCAAGUCAAAGACCAUUCUUCUUGAGAGCCUCACCUUAACUUCGGAAAAAGGAAACCCUGGGCCCUAGAAAGAUCCUCUGUUCCAGACCCCAAAACCAUCGCCCCUGUCCAGGAGGAAGUAGCCAGAGAGAUACGGCACCCUUUUCCCAUCCUUUUAUGACUUCAGGGUCUGUAAUGAAGGAGUCCUCAGGCCUAGACAAAGAAGAUAACUACCUCAAGGGCCCUUGCUGGACCACCUGACUUCAGGGAAAAUAAAACUGAACUUUGCCCCACUCCAAUACUCCAGGCAGAUUGCAUCAGCUUGGAACUUUCCGCCCCCUGCUCAACUGCAAAUGCCAUCUCAGGUUGAAAACUACAGGUACAAGCCAUUGAAGCCAGGAUGCUGUCUGAUGCUGGUAUUUUAACUGACCUACACCAACUAUAUCGCUGUGCAGUGUACAACAGUGAGUCUAAUGAGGCCAGCUAUUCUCACAUAACUUGUAGCAGCUAUGGAUCUGCACUGGCAUAGGAGUUGGGUCAGUGGGAUAAUGCUGGUGGUUUAAUUCUCCCAGCUUUAUGAAGUGGGUAGUGUAAAAUUAUAGAUGAAGCAAUAUUUCAGGUAGUGAAUUAAUAUUCCAUCACAUAUGCAUAGCCCUAAACAAGGAACCUCAUAUGUACCUUUCUGGCUAUGUAAACUAUGGAAAGUCAUGUAUCUGUCUUGGGAUUUAGUGUCCUUGUGUAACAGUAGAAGUAUUCAAAUAGAGAUUAGGCCAUUUGGGGAGGGAGUUAGGAUUAGAGACUUACUCAGAAUAUAUGUUGAAAUUUGGCACAAAGGACCAUUCUUCAGCAUGUUAAAUGCUGCUGAUGAAUGUAGCACAGUGAGCUGUAAGAAGGAAUUUAAAAGACACAAUGAUGCUAGAUUGUUAGAAUUCUGAAAGGAUUGGAGGUGAUGGGAGAGUUUUCAUAUAGGAAGAAAUGUCAGUGUAGCAAAAUUAACAGCCCAGUAGGAGCUAGGAAUUCUUCCUGUUGAUCAGCACUGAAUGUUUGCAAAUACCUCAUUUUCCAGAAAUCGUAAAUCUUAAGCCUAGGAUUCACUCUUAAUGCUUAUUUCAAAACAUUGUUUUAGCCUCUGUGUAAACUUCAUUUUUUUAAUAUUCCAAAUUCUGUAAAAUCUAGCCUCCUAAUAUAGGAAAUUCAACAAAUAUGUUGUAAAAGAAUAAUUGCUAGACAAGGGCAAUAGGAAAGGCGUGGGUAUGCACUCUGAGUGGAGGACAUAAUUUCAGAUAGAGCUGGCUGAGACUAACUACAGAAGACCUGAAAGGGCUGCAGAGGGUAAUGUGGUUGUUACAGUCAACCUUUGAGUAACGUGGAUUUGAACUUCAUGGGUCCCCUUAUUCACAGGUAUUUUCAGUAGAAGAUACUACAUGGUUGAAUUUGUGGAUGUGGAGGGCCAUCUAUAAAUUAUUCAGAUUAACUCCUGUAUUAUACAAAGGUCAACUGUACAUAUUUGGAUGAAGAGGAUUUCAGGUAGAGGGAAAGCAAGUGCAAAGGCCCUGGGGAGGGAUAUGUUUAAAGGUUUGUGGGGAAAGCAAGGUGAAGCUGCAGAGAAGUGGCCUUAAGUUUGUGUGCAGGGCUAGGGUGGAUAUUUGAGACCAUUCUAAGAUGGCAGCUUGCUUUCUGGCCUGUCAGACCUCGGAAUGCGAUCACUUAACGUACAAUGCCCCCUGCCAUCCAUAUACUUUCCCACGUUUCUAUUAAGUGCUAUCUUCCCUCCCCGGUGCUCUUAUUCUGGAGUUCUAUAGCACCUUGUAAUGCCCUUACACUUGGAAGCACAUUUUGUGGUUUCUUGUGAGCUUGCCUACCUGCCCCUGCCAAUAAAAUCCAUCUUGGUAUCUACCAUAUUCCUGGGGUCUGACCAAAUACCUGGCUUAUUAUAAGUUCUCAAAUACUUAGUCCUAAAACCAUGGUGACUAUAGUACAAAGAGCAGUAUUAUUUAUAAUACUAUUGUUAGUUGUGUUGAAUUGUCUUAUAAAUCACACUGAAGUGGCUUACUUAGGAUUGGAGCCUAGUUAAUAAGAGCCUAGAUUCAAAUCCCCAUCCUAAAUGAUCUCUGACCAGUUCUUAACUUCAAUUUCUUUAUCUUUGGUGGUGGCUUAGUCGCUAUGUUGAGUCUAACUCUUAAGUUGAUGAUAGUUACUGGGGUUAUACGCAGUACAUCUAACUCCCUGGUGAGUAGUAGGCACUUAGUAGUGCUAUAGGAUCAUUUUGAUAAUACUGUAUGGUCACUGUAAUUUAGAUCAGAAUGAAAAUACUGAUACUUGAUAUUUAUAUGGUACUAAGAUCCUGGCUUUAAUGUUCAUUAAAAAAAAAUAAUAGAGUACCUGCUAUGGGCCAAGACCUAUUCUGGGUAUUGUGAACAAAGCAGAUCAGAGUAUGUAAUUGCAACUGGUCUUUGACGAAGGCCUCUGGUGUAAAGGCCUGUGACUAGCAUUUUGGUGGAGACAGUAUUUGGUAGACUAAAGGCCUAGAUGAAAGUCUGAGGGUGCUAGCAAAGUUUCCAAGGGUAACCACUGGUUGCACAAGAAGCUUCACUCCACCGAGCCCUGCUGGUGGUUCUCUGUCCCUUGAGGAGUCACUUGGGCUGGGCAGACAGGUGGAAACCUUGGUUCUGCCACAGAUUUCCCCCUCUCCCAGGAAGCAACUGCAACCGGUACAGUCCUGUUCAUACGUUGGUUUUCCAAAAAUUUUUUAAAUAACCAGGAAUUUGUUAUUUAAAAUUGUACAGUCCAUGGGGUUACAGUCCAUGCAGGCUACCGUCCAUGGGCUUGCAAAGAGUCAGACACAACUGAGUGACUAAGCACAACACACAGGUUGCAACAAAUACUGAUACCGAAUAAUGGCAGCUUCAUGCUAGAGAUUGGUAAGUAGAUGGGCAGACCCAAGUUUCUGAAUAAAAAACUUACUGAAUUUCAGUAUUCUUGUGGGGCUAUCACAGUCAAUAAAUAAAACAUUAUUGAAAAGAUUGUGUGUUGUUUACAUGUUGCCAUUCACAGUAAUGCCUUUUGAAUCUCAUUCCUUUCAAAGAAGUUAGGAUCAAAACUCACUGUAGCAAAUUGUAGACCUGAAUAGAGUGAAAGUAUAAAAAACUCCCCACCAUUCCUUUCUUGCUGACAGAUGUGAAUACCUAUUGUUAAUGCUUGCCACAGCAAAAAGGUUUCAUUAUUACAAGUCUGAAUAUUUCUGCCUAAAAGUGGCCACUCUUCUUUUGAGAUAUUCCCAUUAUCUCUGGCUUCCCUGGUUCCCUGGGGGCUCAGAAGGUAAAAGAUCCAUCUGCAAUGCAGGAGAUGUCAGUUAGAUCCCUGGGUUGGGAAGAUCUGGAGGAGGGCUUGGCAACCCACUCCAGUAUUGCCUAGAGAAUCCCCAAGGACAGGAGCCAGGCAGGCUACAGUCCAUGGGGUAGCACAGAGUUGAACGCGACCGAAGCAACUUGGCAUUCCCUAAACAUGCACCCAAGUGGCAGGUUCUGGUGCAGCCCUAUUUUGGUUAGACUUCUACAGGAUCAUUGCCCACAAGAGAGUUUGCUAGGAACUUCCCUCAGGUGCACGCUUCCUUUCAGAAUGAGUCUAUUAAUUUAGCUUCUUACUCAUUUUUUUUCUUAGUUAAUUGGCUUUCAGCAAAAUGCCUGACCCUCAACUGUUCAUGUGUAAUAUGGGUAACUGCAAUAUGCUUGCAUCGUCCUGGGUGUCAUCUCCGCCUUCAAGCCUUUUAUGCUAGUCAGAGGCUUGCUCUUGACAGUACUUCUUCACCAUAAAUUAUAUUUUAACAUUUCAAGGGUCUCGCAGAUUUACACUUAGCUUUAUACAAAGCUUAAUACGAAAUUUUUGCUCUAAAUAAUGAUCACUCGUUUUUAUGGUUGAAAAACAAAUUGUCAUCUACUCACAAAAUUAGCUGGCAACCUAGAAAGCAGUGUGGUCAGCUGAAACGUGUUGUAUUAAUAGGCCAAAUACAUAAAAAGAGAAUGGGUGCUGUUGUCUACAGUCUGCUUUCAGUUCUUUUGAGUGUAUACCAGGAGGCCGAACUUCAACAUUUGCUAUUUUCUACCACUUUCCACAACAGUACGUGAAUAUUCAGGUAUGUACAGGGCUCAGUAUUCGAGAUCCCCAUUUACCUUUUACCCCCUUCUUGGCCGUGCUUUUUCUGCAGUGAAAACAGACCCAGCCACAAGACUUUUAGUAUUAAGUGUAAAAUACGUGAAGAUAACUGUGUUGUUUGCCAAGUGCAAGAAUUCAAUACAUAUUGACACUCCCCAUUACUGGAGGAAUCUUGCAUUACUGCAGGUGUUUCCAUUAGAAACGACCUUCAAAAUGUAGAUGUGACUUUACCCUCACUUAACUAUCUGUACAGCAGCCGAAACUAGCCGAGCUAGAAACAGGCUAGAACAAGAACCGACCAUUUAAGCGAGGCGGUUCAUUCCUCUAAGUAUUCUAUCUCACUGUCCUGCGAGCACUCAAGCGCGGUAACCAGAGAGCCACAAACUCUUCCACUAUUUUGAAUGCAAAUAUCCCUUCCGAGGCCGCAAACCGUUCAGUAGACGGAGUGAGCGUCAGUGCCCUGCAGGGCCCAAUCAGGUCGCGCUUUACUACCUUGGGUUCCUCCCGCCAAGCGGCAGCAGAGCCGCGCCGACAGCGAAUCUCCACCCCGAGGAGGGGAGGUAGGGAACCGCGAGUGAAAACCCAAGACCCGGCGGCUAAGCGACCCCACGGCCCGGGCCCAGCCUCACCUCCGCCUCGGGCACCACGGGUCCGGGGUUCGAGACAGGCAGCUCUCUGCCUGCGGCUCGUCAAACUCCCUGACCACGCCUACUGCCCUUCAAAUCCCCGCGGCUCGGGGUAGCGAGCGAAUGGACGCUACCAAGGGCCGAGGCAUCCGAGUAGGCAAAGACACCGCACCCUCCACCCACCGGCAAUGAGACCAAGUGUUCCAAACCCGGUGGAAGACCUGCGCCCUCGCGAGAGUUCUGACACACUCCUACAGGCCGCGAGAACCCUGGGGGACGCAGCCUGCCAAUCAACACAUGGAGGCGGUUCCGCGCGCACCCAAUGGGCUAAGCACGGAAAAGUUCGCGUCCCAUUGGCAUGUUUUCCGGAGCCAACUUCGUCUUCUCCGUCUGAACCCUCGUCCCACUCUCCGGCACUGCUUCUCAGCUGAGGAGAUGGCUUAUCAGUGCUGGAGCUGAGAUUAAAGCUGUGAAUCCCACCACCGCCACCUCUAUGAGAGUUAUCAGACUUAAAAGGUGUCUUAUAAGAAGGGGACAGAGAGAUCUGACUGCAGAACAGAAGAAAAAGACAAUGUGACAGCGGAGGCAAGAUGCUACACUGCAGGCUUUGAAGGUGGGGGGGGGGGGGCCUUGAGGCAAUGAAUGCUCAGAGUGGAGCUCUACAGCUGGAAGAGGCAAAGAAACAGACUAUUCCCUGGAAACUUCAAGAGGAGCAUGGCCCUACAGACACCCUGAUGUUGGCCCAGGGAAACUGACUUCCAACUCUGACCCCCAGAACUGUAAGAUCAUAAAUGUGUGCUUUAAGCCAA